CACUGCCGCACCCUUUCUUCUCUCAUUCAUCCACAUUCUUGCCCCAAAGAUGGCAUCUCUUUUUCGGUGCAAAUGUUUGGGGUUAUUCACUGAUCUCACAUCACAAACGGGUCUAUCUUAUCAUUUAGGAGUAGACUAUAGCAUGUUGAUUGUUCAUGGAGUUUCAAGGGCUCAAUUGAGAAAGGCUUGUAGAUCCCAAACCGCUCAAUGAAACCCGUGAUUGGUGUUGUGUGAGGUAAACGCACACCUAUUAUUGUUUCCUAGUUUGAUAACUGUAUA
Helianthus annuus (common sunflower) is the source of this 279-nucleotide long non-coding RNA. RefSeq lists it as uncharacterized. Lineage: Eukaryota; Viridiplantae; Streptophyta; Magnoliopsida; Asterales; Asteraceae. The transcript has 3 exons. The record is from RefSeq and is a predicted model, not a curated record.